GGAUAAGAUUAAACAAUGUAAAGUUAAGAAUAAAUUGUGCUUGUGCAGGUUCGAGAUAAUUGGAACAAAUUCCAGGAAAUAUCCAGCCAGAUAAUAACUUAACUUGACUGCGGCUUAUUUGGGCCAUAUUAUGCAAUCGUUGAGCUGAUUUCUAAUACCAGGACGCUGGUAAAUCAUGGAAUCGGACGUAGAUUUGUUACGUUUAACUCGGAAUUUGUGGACUAUUUUGGCCGGUCUAUGUAUGUAUGUACAUACCAGGUAA
Long non-coding RNA from Folsomia candida, 262 nucleotides. RefSeq lists it as uncharacterized. The transcript has 3 exons. Lineage: Eukaryota; Metazoa; Arthropoda; Collembola; Entomobryomorpha; Isotomidae. The record is from RefSeq and is a predicted model, not a curated record.